This 241-nucleotide unclassified non-coding RNA is filed under the name Ascomycota sp. RNAcentral describes it as "partial contains small subunit ribosomal RNA, internal transcribed spacer 1, and 5.8S ribosomal RNA". The stretch from base 1 to 47 matches the Rfam family "Eukaryotic small subunit ribosomal RNA", at positions 1785 to 1831 of the family's 1831-position model. The record is from RNAcentral. Lineage: Eukaryota; Fungi; Ascomycota.
AAAGUCGUAACAAGGUCUCCGUUGGUGAACCAGCGGAGGGAUCAUUACCGAGUUUACAACUCCCAAACCCUUUGUGAACCUUACCAUAUCGUUGCUUCGGCGGGUCUCGCCCCGGCGCCCCCGGGCCCGGAACCAGGCGCCCGCCGGAGACCCCAAACUCUCAUGUCUUUAGUGGUUUUCUCCUCUGAGUGUCACAUAAACAAAUAAAUAAAAACUUUCAACAACGGAUCUCUUGGUUCUG